CGAGAAUCAUUCACAAUGGGGGCAACCCUGAUGGUGCGACGCCGCGUGGGGGAAUGAAGGUCUUCGGAUUGUAAACCCCUGUCAUGUGGGAGCAAAUUAAAAAGAUAGUACCACAAGAGGAAGAGACGGCUAACUCUGUGCCAGCAGCCGCGGUAAUACAGAGGUCUCAAGCGUUGUUCGGAAUCACUGGGCGUAAAGCGUGCGUAGGCUGUUUCGUAAGUCGUGUGUGAAAGGCAGGGGCUCAACCCCUGGAUUGCACAUGAUACUGCGAGACUAGAGUAAUGGAGGGGGAACCGGAAUUCUCGGUGUAGCAGUGAAAUGCGUAGAUAUCGAGAGGAACACUCGUGGCGAAGGCGGGUUCCUGGACAUUAACUGACGCUGAGGCACGAAGGCCAGGGGAGCGAAAGGGAUUAGAUACCCCUGUAGUCCUGGCAGUAAACGGUGCACGCUUGGUGUGCGGGGAAUCGACCCCCUGCGUGCCGGAGCUAACGCGUUAAGCGUGCCGCCUGGGGAGUACGGUCGCAAGAUUAAAACUCAAAGAAAUUGACGGGGACCCGCACAAGCGGUGGAGUAUGUGGCUUAAUUCGAUGCAACGCGAAGAACCUUACCUGGGCUUGACAUGUAAUGAACAACAUGUGAAAGCAUGCGACUCUUCGGAGGCGUUACACAGGUGCUGCAUGGCCGUCGUCAGCUCGUGUCGUGAGAUGUUUGGUUAAGUCCAGCAACGAGCGCAACCCCUGUUGCCAGUUACCAUCGAGUAAUGUCGGGGACUCUGGCGAGACUGCCCAGAUCAACUGGGAGGAAGGUGGGGACGACGUCAGGUCAGUAUGGCCCUUAUGCCCAGGGCUGCACACGUACUACAAUGCCCAGUACAGAGGGGGCCGAAGCCGCGAGGCGGAGGAAAUCCUGAAAACUGGGCCCAGUUCGGACUGUAGGCUGCAACCCGCCUACACGAAGCCGGAAUCGCUAGUAAUGGCGCAUCAGCUACGGCGCCGUGAAUACGUUCCCG
This 1009-nucleotide ribosomal RNA is filed under the name uncultured bacterium. RNAcentral describes it as "bacterial SSU rRNA". It matches the Rfam family "Bacterial small subunit ribosomal RNA", at positions 356 to 1376 of the family's 1533-position model. The record is from RNAcentral.